UACGGGAGGCAGCAGUGGGAAUAUUGCACAAUGGGCGCAAGCCUGAUGCAGCAACGCCGCGUGAGGGACGAAGGCCUUCGGGUUGUAACCUCUUUUAGCAGGGAAGAAGCGAAAGUGACGGUACCUGCAGAAAAAGCACCGGCUAACUACGUGCCAGCAGCCGCGGUAAUACGUAGGGUGCAAGCGUUGUCCGGAAUUAUUGGGCGUAAAGAGCUCGUAGGCGGUUUGUCACGUCUGCUGUGAAAACCCGAGGCUCAACCUCGGGCUUGCAGUGGGUACGGGCAGACUAGAGUGCGGUAGGGGAGAUUGGAAUUCCUGGUGUAGCGGUGGAAUGCGCAGAUAUCAGGAGGAACACCGAUGGCGAAGGCAGAUCUCUGGGCCGUAACUGACGCUGAGGAGCGAAAGCAUGGGGAGCAAACAGGCUUAGAUACCCUGGUAGUCCAUGCCGUAAACGUUGGGAACUAGAUGUGGGGACCAUUCCACGGUCUCCGUGUCGUAGCUAACGCAUUAAGUUCCCCGCCUGGGGAGUACGGCCGCAAGGCUAAAACUCAAAGGAAUUGACGAGGGCCCGCACAAGCGGCGGAGCAUGCGGAUUAAUUCGAUGCAACGCGAAGAACCUUACCAAGGCUUGACAUAUACGAGAACGCGCUGGAGACAGCGAACUCUUUGGACACUCGUAUACAGGUGGUGCAUGGUUGUCGUCAGCUCGUGUCGUGAGAUGUUGGGUUAAGUCCCGCAACGAGCGCAACCCUCGUCCUAUGUUGCCAGCACGUAAUGGUGGGAACUCAUGGGAUACUGCCGGGGUCAACUCGGAGGAAGGUGGGGAUGAGGUCAAAUCAUCAUGCCCCUUAUGUCUUGGGCUUCACGCAUGCUACAAUGGCCGGUACAAUGGGCUGCAAUACCGUAAGGUGGAGCGAAUCCCAAAAAGCCGUCUCAGUUCGGAUUGAGUCUGCAACUCGACCUCAUGAAGUCGGAGUCGCUAGUAAUCGUAGAUCAGCACG
RNAcentral lists this ribosomal RNA (1001 nucleotides) under uncultured Actinomycetes bacterium. RNAcentral describes it as "bacterial SSU rRNA". It matches the Rfam family "Bacterial small subunit ribosomal RNA", at positions 340 to 1356 of the family's 1533-position model. The record is from RNAcentral. Lineage: Bacteria; Bacillati; Actinomycetota; Actinomycetes.